UAAUAAGUGUUUAUGGCACUUUUUAAAUCCAUAUCCACCUUGUGUUGCAAUGUCAGUCGGAUCUUUCUUUCAGUCAAGAAAAGGAUUGACAAACAUCAACCUUAUUCUUUAAUGCACUUUGUCCUGAAAAAUAUUAUAAUAAACUAAUUCAAAAUA
This 156-nucleotide unclassified non-coding RNA is filed under the name soil metagenome. Its description in RNAcentral is "partial internal transcribed spacer 1". The record is from RNAcentral.